CCGUCGAUAGCUCAGUUGGCAGAGCGGUGGACUGUAGAUCCAUAGGUCGCUGGUUCGACUCCGGCUGGACGGA
This 73-nucleotide transfer RNA is filed under the name Nephila pilipes (giant wood spider). Its description in RNAcentral is "tRNA-Tyr". It matches the Rfam family "tRNA". Rfam says of the family: Transfer RNA (tRNA) molecules are approximately 80 nucleotides in length. Their secondary structure includes four short double-helical elements and three loops (D, anti-codon, and T loops). Further hydrogen bonds mediate the characteristic L-shaped molecular structure. tRNAs have two regions of fundamental functional importance: the anti-codon, which is responsible for specific mRNA codon recognition, and the 3' end, to which the tRNAs corresponding amino acid is attached (by aminoacyl-tRNA synthetases). tRNAs cope with the degeneracy of the genetic code in two manners: having more than one tRNA (with a specific anti-codon) for a particular amino acid; and 'wobble' base-pairing, i.e. permitting non-standard base-pairing at the 3rd anti-codon position. The record is from RNAcentral. Lineage: Eukaryota; Metazoa; Arthropoda; Arachnida; Araneae; Nephilidae.